CAGUUCGGAUCGCAGGCUGCAACCCGCCUGCGUGAAGUUGGAAUCGCUAGUAAUCGCGGAUCAGCAUGCCGCGGUGAAUACGUUCCCGGGCCUUGUACACACCGCCCGUCACACCAUGAGAGUCGGGAACACCCGAAGUCCGUAGCCUAACAGCAAUGGGGGCGCGGCCGAAGGUGGGUUCGAUAAUUGGGGUGAAGUCGUAACAAGGUAAC
Molecule: ribosomal RNA, 212 nt
Filed under: uncultured bacterium
Lineage: Bacteria
Description: partial 16S ribosomal RNA
Rfam family: Bacterial small subunit ribosomal RNA
Source: RNAcentral